Molecule: long non-coding RNA, 260 nt
Filed under: Nicotiana tabacum (common tobacco)
Lineage: Eukaryota; Viridiplantae; Streptophyta; Magnoliopsida; Solanales; Solanaceae
Description: long non-coding RNA (NTAB_LNC014358)
Source: RNAcentral
ACGGCACCGAGUUUGAGGAAACAAAGCUUCUUCGUACGGUUACCGAUGAUUUGAUUUUUGAGGUCGCGAAGGGCUUUGAGCUUUGUAUCGGUGGAGGAAGAGCUCAAUUUUCCGAUUAGAUCCUCGCGACGGCUGUGAGUCGGAGGCGGCGGCGCCGAUGAUGCUGAGGCCGGCAUGGUUGAGGACAAAUCGGGAAUUUCAUAUGCGGAUGCGACCAACCGAUUGUGCAAAAGAGAAAGUGAGAAAGGAGAACUGGGGAA